RNAcentral lists this ribosomal RNA (433 nucleotides) under uncultured bacterium. RNAcentral describes it as "bacterial SSU rRNA". It matches the Rfam family "Bacterial small subunit ribosomal RNA", at positions 29 to 506 of the family's 1533-position model. The record is from RNAcentral.
ACGAACGCUGGCGGCAGGCCUAACACAUGCAAGUCGAACGGGUGCCUUCGGGCACUAGUGGCGGACGGGUGAGUAACGCGUGGGAACGUGCCCUUUGGUUCGGAAUAGCCUCGGGAAACUGGGAGUAAUACCGGAUAAGCCCUUCGGGGGAAAGAUUUAUCGCCAAAGGAUCGGCCCGCGUUGGAUUAGGUAGUUGGUGGGGUAAUGGCCUACCAAGCCGACGAUCCAUAGCUGGUUUGAGAGGAUGAUCAGCCACACUGGGACUGAGACACGGCCCAGACUCCUACGGGAGGCAGCAGUGGGGAAUCUUAGACAAUGGGGGAAACCCUGAUCUAGCCAUGCCGCGUGAUCGAUGAAGGCCUUAGGGUUGUAAAGAUCUUUCAGUGGGGAAGAUAAUGACGGUACCCACAGAAGAAGCCCCGGCUAACUCCGU